GACGAAUGCUGGCGGCGUGCCUAAUACAUGCAAGUUGAGCGAUGAAGAUUGGUGCUUGCACCAAUUUGAAGAGCAGCGAACGGGUGAGUAACGCGUGGGGAAUCUGCCCUUGAGCGGGGGACAACAUUUGGAAACGAAUGCUAAUACCGCAUAACAACUUUAAACAUAAGUUUUAAGUUUGAAAGAUGCAAUUGCAUCACUCAAAGAUGAUCCCGCGUUGUAUUAGCUAGUUGGUGAGGUAAAGGCUCACCAAGGCGAUGAUACAUAGCCGACCUGAGAGGGUGAUCGGCCACAUUGGGACUGAGAAACGGCCCAAACUCCUACGGGAGGCAGCAGUAGGGAAUCUUCGACAAUGGACGAAAGUCUGACCGAGCAACGCCGCGUGAGUGAAGAAGGUUUUCGGAUCGUAAAACUCUGUUGGUAGAGAAGAACGUCGGUGAGAGUGGAAAGCUCAUCAAGUGACGGUAACUACCCAGAAAGGGACGGCUAACUACGUGCCAGCCGCCGCGGUAA
Molecule: ribosomal RNA, 513 nt
Filed under: uncultured bacterium
Lineage: Bacteria
Description: partial 16S ribosomal RNA
Rfam family: Bacterial small subunit ribosomal RNA
Source: RNAcentral